This is a long non-coding RNA of Prionailurus viverrinus (fishing cat), 451 nucleotides long. RefSeq lists it as uncharacterized. NCBI's taxonomy places the organism in Eukaryota, Metazoa, Chordata, Mammalia, Carnivora, Felidae. The record is from RefSeq and is a predicted model, not a curated record. The transcript has 2 exons.
AGUCAGAUGGGCCAUGGUCAACAGUGCUCACAUGGACAUGGGUAGGGACUUGGACCCAGAAACACGGCUCUAUUCAACACAUUCCAUCUUUUCUCCUUCUACUUGGAUACGGGAUAUGCAAUUAUAACACACUGAACUUCUCUACCAAUUCCAUGUCCUGUGGUACUGCUGGGUCACUUUCUCUGGAUGACUGCUUUCCUCAUUAUGGAAACCAAUGCUUCCUACUUCCAUGGGAUAUGGAGGUAGACUGUCAAUUUUACCUUUAGUAAUAUGUGGCCGUGUCCUCAGACUUCAGGUUGUUCAUCUGCAGAUACAGCGUGUUCUUGGCGUUGUCCCUGGAGAUGGUGAAUCGGCCCUUCACGGAGUCUGCGUAGCUUGUGCUACUUCCAUCAUAUCUAAUAUAUGCGACCCACUGCAGCCCCUUUCCUGGAGCCUGGCGGACCCAGUUCAU